GUGGGUAGUUUGACUGGGGCGGUCUCCUCCUAAAGAGUAACGGAGGAGCACGAAGGUUGGCUAAUCCUGGUCGGACAUCAGGAGGUUAGUGCAAUGGCAUAAGCCAGCUUGACUGCGAGCGUGACGGCGCGAGCAGGUGCGAAAGCAGGUCAUAGUGAUCCGGUGGUUCUGAAUGGAAGGGCCAUCGCUCAACGGAUAAAAGGUACUCCGGGGAUAACAGGCUGAUACCGCCCAAGAGUUCAUAUCGACGGCGGUGUUUGGCACCUCGAUGUCGGCUCAUCACAUCCUGGGGCUGAAGUAGGUCCCAAGGGUAUGGCUGUUCGCCAUUUAAAGUGGUACGCGAGCUGGGUUUAGAACGUCGUGAGACAGUUCGGUCCCUAUCUGCCGUGGGCGCUGGAGAACUGAGGGGGGCUGCUCCUAGUACGAGAGGACCGGAGUGGACGCAUCACUGGUGUUCGGGUUGUCAUGCCAAUGGCACUGCCCGGUAGCUAAAUGCGGAAGAGAUAAGUGCUGAAAGCAUCUAAGCACGAAACUUGCCCCGAGAUGAGUUCUCCCUGAGACUUAAAGUCUCCUGAAGGAACGUUGAAGACGACGACGUUGAUAGGCCGGGUGUGUAAGCGCAGCGAUGCGUUGAGCUAACCG
This 642-nucleotide ribosomal RNA is filed under the name Salmonella enterica subsp. enterica serovar Dublin. RNAcentral describes it as "partial 23S ribosomal RNA". It matches the Rfam family "Bacterial large subunit ribosomal RNA", at positions 2261 to 2897 of the family's 2925-position model. The record is from RNAcentral. RNAcentral also lists the same sequence under 1 other name. Lineage: Bacteria; Pseudomonadati; Pseudomonadota; Gammaproteobacteria; Enterobacterales; Enterobacteriaceae.